Regulatory RNA element from Paracoccus halophilus, 210 nucleotides. The record is from Rfam. Lineage: Bacteria; Pseudomonadati; Pseudomonadota; Alphaproteobacteria; Rhodobacterales; Paracoccaceae.
UUUAGCUGAACGCCUGAUCGGUGCCCGCCAAGACGCCAUGCGUCGGGCUUAAUCGGGAAUGGGGAAGGGUUCGCCCAAAGCCCCAGCCGCCCCCGCGACUGUAUGCGGCGAGCGUGCCUUAUCUCAUGCCACUGGGCGCUCGCGCCCGGGAAGGCCCGAGGCACGCCCCGACCCGCAAGCCAGGAGACCGGCCGUCAGCAACGCAACCCA